AUAUGUUUUUCAAAUGAUUUAUCAUGUAUUUAAAGUGUUAAAUAUUUGUAUAAAUGAUGAUGGAAACAUCAAUCAUCAAAACAUAUAUUAAUUUUAUGAAAGUAUUUAAAGUGUUAAAUAUUUGUAUAAAUGAUGAUGGAAACAUCAAUCAUCAAAACAUAUAUUAAUUUUAUGAAAGUAUUUAAAGUGUUAAAUAUUUGUAUAAAUGAUGAUGGAAAUAUCAAUCAUCAAAACAUAUAUUAUUUUUAUGAAAGGUGAAAGCACUACUUGAUUGUU
This 276-nucleotide long non-coding RNA is filed under the name Malus domestica (apple). RNAcentral describes it as "long non-coding RNA (MDOM_LNC006813)". Lineage: Eukaryota; Viridiplantae; Streptophyta; Magnoliopsida; Rosales; Rosaceae. The record is from RNAcentral.